GUUGACUCGGGGCCGGCGACGUGGGUAAGAGGUAGGGGGGCAGGUUUGUUCGGAAUGACUGGGGGUAAAGGGUCAGUAGGCGGUGUGGCAAGUCGGGAGUGAAAGCUCGUGGCUCAACUCAGAGGCUGCUUCCGAAACUGCUGUGCUUGAGUGUGGGAGAGGCGCGUGGAAUUGCAGGUGUAGCGGUGAAAUGCGUAGAUAUCUGCAGGAACACCCGUGGCGAAAGCGGCGCGCUGGACCACAACUGACGCUGAAUGACGAAAGCUAGGGGAGCAAACAGGAUUAGAUACCCCAGUAGUC
This 300-nucleotide ribosomal RNA is filed under the name uncultured Thermosporothrix sp. Its description in RNAcentral is "bacterial SSU rRNA". The stretch from base 52 to 300 matches the Rfam family "Bacterial small subunit ribosomal RNA", at positions 547 to 795 of the family's 1533-position model. Lineage: Bacteria; Bacillati; Chloroflexota; Ktedonobacteria; Ktedonobacterales; Thermosporotrichaceae. The record is from RNAcentral.